GACGAACGCUGGCGGCGUGCUUAACACAUGCAAGUCGAACGGAAAGGCCCUGCUUUUGUGGGGUGCUCGAGUGGCGAACGGGUGAGUAACACGUGAGUAACCUGCCCUUGACUUUGGGAUAACUUCAGGAAACUGGGGCUAAUACCGGAUAGGAGCUCUUGCUGCAUGGUGGGGGUUGGAAAGUUUCGGCGGUUGGGGAUGGUCUCGCGGGUUAUCAGCUUGUUGGUGGGGUAGUGGCUUACCAAGGCUUUGACGGGUAGCCGGCCUGAGAGGGUGACCGGCCACAUUAGGACUAAGGUACGGCCCAGACUCCUACGGGAGGCAGCAGGGGGGAAUAUUGCGCAAUAGGCGGGAGCCUGAUGCAGCAGCGCCGCGUGCGGAAUGACGGCCUUCGGGUUGUAAACCACUUUCGCCUGUGACGAAGCGUGAGUGACGGUAAUGAGUAAAGAAGCACCGGCUAACUACGUG
RNAcentral lists this ribosomal RNA (468 nucleotides) under uncultured bacterium. RNAcentral describes it as "partial 16S ribosomal RNA". It matches the Rfam family "Bacterial small subunit ribosomal RNA", at positions 28 to 507 of the family's 1533-position model. The record is from RNAcentral.